AUUGAACGCUGGCGGCAGGCCUAACACAUGCAAGUCGAGCGGAUGAAGGGAGCUUGCUCCUGGAUUCAGCGGCGGACGGGUGAGUAAUGCCUAGGAAUCUGCCUGGUAGUGGGGGAUAACGUCCGGAAACGGGCGCUAAUACCGCAUACGUCCUGAGGGAGAAAGCGGGGGAUCUUCGGACCUCACGCUAUCAGAUGAGCCUAGGUCGGAUUAGCUAGUUGGUGGGGUAAGGGCCUACCAAGGCGACGAUCCGUAACUGGUCUGAGAGGAUGAUCAGUCACACUGGAACUGAGACACGGUCCAGACUCCUACGGGAGGCAGCAGUGGGGAAUAUUGGACAAUGGGCGAAAGCCUGAUCCAGCCAUGCCGCGUGUGUGAAGAAGGUCUUCGGAUUGUAAAGCACUUUAAGUUGGGAGGAAGGGCAGUAAGUUAAUACCUUGCUGUUUUGACGUUACCAACAGAAUAAGCACCGGCUAACUUCGUG
Molecule: ribosomal RNA, 484 nt
Filed under: uncultured bacterium
Lineage: Bacteria
Description: partial 16S ribosomal RNA
Rfam family: Bacterial small subunit ribosomal RNA
Source: RNAcentral